This is a long non-coding RNA of Paramormyrops kingsleyae, 2655 nucleotides long. RefSeq lists it as uncharacterized. Lineage: Eukaryota; Metazoa; Chordata; Actinopteri; Osteoglossiformes; Mormyridae. The record is from RefSeq and is a predicted model, not a curated record.
UAAAGUAUUCAUAAAAUCCCCAGUGCUGUUGAAGCACUUUGGGCCCCUAAGCAAUCAGCUGCAGUAUUUGACAUGUGAUUUUGCAUUUAUUUUGCUUGGCUGAGGUUGUGUCUGUAGAAAUGUACAAUUUUUGCCCCUUUAAACAGUCGGAAAUUCGCCACAGAUCAACCCAUUGCCCUCAUUGUGGGAGGUAGAAAGAGGCAAACUAUGAUAUUUUGAAAUAUGGAGAUAUACGGGAGACAGCCUAAUGCCCAGGCCGUUGUCGCGAAGGCCUGCUUUUGCAGCAAGCUGGAAUUGUUUGCACAGUGAAAGCUGAGCCCAUACUCCUUCUUACACUUAAACAUGCUGUUAAGAGAGAAACUUGGACUAUUUCAGGAUGAUGUAUGAAGCUGGCAAAGAUGCUUAGAUGGGAGCCGAAAUAGGAAACUUGCUGUGCCAAACAUGGUGGAUUCAAGCAUGGAAAAUGCGAUUGGCCACCAAAGAGUCAAAACUGAACGCAAAGGUGCAACACAUACAGAGGCAGUGGAGUUUGAGCUCUUUGAGGAAGACGCAGCUCAGAAUUCGAGGGAAUAAAAGGCGGUCGGUCACUGGAUCAUAACUGUGGGGAUUUACACAAAAUACCAGACCGCAGUGGUCAUCCGGUACUACACGCCAACAAGAGAGGCCAAACCAGAAACUGGGGAUGCUUUUUCAAGAAGACCAAAAACACAACAAAAUAAGGAUGUCAUUCUGCUGACAGAUGACAUCAAUGCAAAGAAAGGCCAAGAAAACACAGGAAGAAGAAGAAAUCGUGGAGAGGCAUGGCCUGAGAGAAAUGGCUGAAAGCAGCGAGCCCAACAUGACUUCCUGUGCCUUGGACAGAUCGAUCAUUUCUUUCAAAAUACGAGAACAUACAAUACCAUUUGGUAUCUUCAGGUGAUAAAAACAGAAAUCUGAUUGUCCCAAAGGUAUAUACUUUGGUACGAAUGGUGCAGUAUGUCUCUACCAAUAUUGUGGGAGUACUGUGUGUGUUUAGGGGUGGCGGGUCAGGGUUGUUUGGUCACUGGCAAUGCUGAAACCAAACAUAUAUCCAUGGAUUAACCACAUCUAUAUUAUCCGUAAGUCCAGGAGAUCUCUUCUGGAUGUAUGGGUAAAUCUCAGAACAAACCAUCACCUAUACUGAUAGGCAAGCUUAGGCUCGAAUUUAGGAGUUUAAUAGCAGACACUAACAGGACCUGCACUGAAUACAGCGUUAACCCAUGCAAGACUGUAAGACAAAUGCAAUACUGUAAAGGAGCAACGUAAGCUGUACGAGGGCAGCGAAGACAAGCCCGCGAGCUGCAUGCAGUGGCAAACAGGUUAGUACUGUAAGAGGGAGCAUUACGAAAGACAAACAAAAGAACAAAGGCAAAUCUGCCGAGCAAGCAGAACCUACUCAAUAUGACGGAGUUGUAUAUCAUCACCUGUCAGUUAGCCAACAAACAUUCACCAGCAGAUACACCAAUCAAAGGCAAGACUGGCAACACAGGAGGAGCGGACCGGGCAGGUGGGGUCGAACAUUUCCGGGACUACCAAACGGGCCAGGACCAGCAGAUCCGGUGGACGUAACCAGUAACACAACCCUUCCAAGUAGACCAAGUAACCUGGAGACAACAAGGAACAUCAGAGGAGCAGGUCCGGCUGGGAAACCUCCUGAAGCAGGAAGAGACACUCUUCAUUGUCCCUGACCUUCUUGAGUUCCGGAAGGUUUCCGACAGCCUUGACCACAGCACUCUUUGGGUCUUUAUGGCAUAUCAGAAGAGCUCAUGUCUUCCUCAUACAGAAGACUUACCAACACUCAUCUGUUAGAGUAGUGCAAAAAAUGUCUUGCCAACACUUUCUGUAGAAACUGGAAUCUGAACCGGUGCCCCUAGUUUUCCUGCUGGCCCCAGAGAAAAUAAAACCUGGGGAACUGAGUGGAAUUGGAUGAAAUGGACUUUUAUUGAUGGCAGUUCUACCAGCACACACAUAGACUCAGAUACAAUUCACAACAUCACGGCUAGUAGCAAUAUUAGCUAAGACAUGUACAACAUAUACCACAUAUAUACAACUGCAGUGACGACUGUAUCAGAUUGGGAGGAGCUGAGCUGAAGGAAAUGGAAACCGUUCACAUAUCUUGGCAGUGUCAUCGGAAAGGAAGGAGGACCAGAUGCAGGCAUCCUUGGAAAGGACAGGGAAAGCAAGGUCCAUCUGGAACUCCAAGGAGACAUGCCAACACACAAGGCUUUGAGUUCAUGAAUGUAAAGUCCAUACUUCUCUACACAUCAGAGUCGAGAAGAACAAAAAGUGCAUCUUAUAAUGUAGGUACCUGAGGACCUUUAACAUACAUAGGCCAAACACCAUCCGUAAUGAUGAUCUACAGAAGAAAUCAGGUGAGAAGGAAAUAAAUGCCCAGAUCAGGAGAAGGGAAUAGAGUUGCUUGGGAAAUGUAACCAGAUAGACAAAAAUGCAGUUUUCAUGGGAAGAAUUAUGGAAGGCCUCAAAACCUACACUGUAAAAAAAAAUUUAAUUUUACAGAAAAUUACUGUAAAUUUUACAGUUACUUUUUACAGUAGUUUCUCUUUUUUGAAAGCUGUCUGCAAAGCUCUGUAAAAUUACAGAAAUUAUUCCUGAAUUAAUAAACCAACCUUUAUUUUA